Molecule: ribosomal RNA, 441 nt
Filed under: uncultured bacterium
Lineage: Bacteria
Description: partial 16S ribosomal RNA
Rfam family: Bacterial small subunit ribosomal RNA
Source: RNAcentral
CCUACGGGUGGCAGCAGUGGGGGAUAUUGCACAAUGGGGGAAACCCUGAUGCAGCGACGCCGCGUGGGUGAAGAAGUAUUUCGGUAUGUAAAGCCCUAUCAGCAGGGAAGAAAGAAGACGGUACCUGACUAAGAAGCCACGGCUAACUACGUGCCAGCAGCCGCGGUAAUACGGAGGGGGCGAGCGUUAUCCGGAUUCACUGGGUGUAAAGGGAGCGUAGACGGCCGUGCAAGCCAGGAGUGAAAGCCCGGGGCCCAACCCCGGGACUGCGGUUGGAACUGGGCGGCUGGAGUGCGGGAGGGGCAGGCGGAAUGCCUGGUGUAGCGGUGAAAUGCGUAGAUAUCAGGAGGAACACCGGCGGCGAAGGCGGCCUGCUGGACCGCGACUGACGUUGAGGCUCGAAAGCGUGGGGAGCGAACAGGAUUAGAUACCCUUGUAGUC